RNAcentral lists this transfer RNA (71 nucleotides) under Cordylochernes scorpioides. Its description in RNAcentral is "tRNA-Gly". It matches the Rfam family "tRNA". From Rfam's summary of the family: Transfer RNA (tRNA) molecules are approximately 80 nucleotides in length. Their secondary structure includes four short double-helical elements and three loops (D, anti-codon, and T loops). The record is from RNAcentral. Lineage: Eukaryota; Metazoa; Arthropoda; Arachnida; Pseudoscorpiones; Chernetidae.
AUGUCAGUGGCUCUGUGGUAGAAUGCUCGCCUUCCACGCGGGCGGCCCGGGUUCGAUUCCCGGCCGAUGCA